This is a long non-coding RNA of Coturnix japonica (Japanese quail), 1113 nucleotides long. RefSeq lists it as uncharacterized. The record is from RefSeq and is a predicted model, not a curated record. NCBI's taxonomy places the organism in Eukaryota, Metazoa, Chordata, Aves, Galliformes, Phasianidae.
AGUUUCAGCAGUGAAAAUAUAGUGCUGCCUGGAACCCAUCUAUUCAUUGCUCAACUGACUUCACAAAUCCUGUGCAGUAAGACUUGGGAACAUACAUCACUUCUGCAGCGCUUGACAGACCAUCCCUGAAGCCUAUGACAGCUGGGCAGAUUGAAUCAGUGAUACAGUUGACUGGGCAUUUUAUUUAAGGAUGUCAUAAUCUCCAUUAAAAACAUUCAUCUUUUUGUGCACCUCUUCCCUGUGUUACAGACUGUUUCUAACUCUCCAGUCUCUCUGCUCAUCUCCCUUCUGGAUCAGUCACCAAAAUGCACAUUAUUCCUCUUGAAGAAUAUAGAAGGUGACACCUGUAUUAUACCCAACACUGUCCUUCCACUUGAUCACGCUGCCCAGAAACCUGCACCCAGACAGACCACAGGCUUCCAGGACAGAUCCGUCCCCAUGAAGGGGCAGAUGCCCACAGGAACAACCCCUGAAUUGCUAAUUUAAGGACUAAAAGAAGAAAAAAAUUAUUUCAAAAGUUUGCUGAUUUGUUAAAACUCAAUUGAAAAAUUCCUAGUGAGCAGUGGCACAAACCCUCUUACAGCCCAAAGAUGAAAUAAUUCCAGUUUAGUUAGUUAGUUAGUUAUUCUAUGAAAAAGCUGCACUCAAAACCCAGAGCACUGGGUCUAUCUUGAUCAACCUCAAUGAAUUUACUACCAUGCAGGUGGCUAAAACCAAACAUGGGUUAAGUGAGUUUAAUACAGCAGAAAGAAACUUAAACACUAGUUAAAAUGUAAUUGCUGCCUUUUUUUCCUGUUUUACUACAAAUCCUGAAGCCACUCCAAAAUAAAGUAGGAGUUCUCUGUGCAAGUAACCUGAUUUGAGCACAGGCAAAAGGUACCCCUUGAAGGACUGCCAAGACAAAUGAUCCUGUUUGAUAACGUCUGCCUUGAACGUGAUGAAAUACGGCUCUUGAAUCUGAGUCGCUGCAUGUUUCUGUCCUUCUGUCUGUUUUAAAAAAAUUCACAGAACUUCAGCCAGAAGUCUACCCCGAUGGUAUGUCUACAGUGUUGACAUAGAGCAGGGAUUGCCUAAUGCCUUUUUAUGUUUUACUAAAUAAAGAUAUUUACUCUA